Molecule: ribosomal RNA, 417 nt
Filed under: Theileria cervi
Lineage: Eukaryota; Apicomplexa; Aconoidasida; Piroplasmida; Theileriidae
Description: SSU rRNA
Rfam family: Eukaryotic small subunit ribosomal RNA
Source: RNAcentral
GACAAGAAAUAACAAUACAGGGCUUAAUGUCUUGUAAUUGGAAUGAUGGGAAUUUAAACCUCUUCCAGAGUAUCAAUUGGAGGGCAAGUCUGGUGCCAGCAGCCGCGGUAAUUCCAGCUCCAAUAGCGUAUAUUAAAAUUGUUGCAGUUAAAAAGCUCGUAGUUGAAUUUCUGCUGCAUUGCAUUUGCUCCUUGACGAGUGUCUGUAUUGCGGCUUAUUUCGGAUUAUGCUUGCAUUUUCCGGAUGUAUACUUUGAGAAAAUUAGAGUGCUCAAAGCAGGCUUUUGCCUUGAAUAGUUUAGCAUGGAAUAAUAAAGUAGGACUUUGGUUCUAUUUUGUUGGUUUUAGGUACCAAAGUAAUGGUUAAUAGGAACAGUUGGGGGCAUUCGUAUUUAACUGUCAGAGGUGAAAUUCUUAG